GGUGUGAGGGUCCCGCGGCUAUGGAGUUCCCGGAGCUGGGCGAGCACUGCUCGGAGCGCACUUGCAAGCAGCUGGAUUUCCUUCCUCUGAGAUGCGAUGCUUGUGGGGAGGUCUUCUGUAAAGAUCACAUCCGUUACGAUAACCACAAGUGUAGCUCUGCCUACAAAAAAAAUGUGCAGGUUCCAGUGUGUCCUCUCUGUAAUGCACCCAUUCCAGUACAGAAAGGGGAAAUACCAGAUAUUGUAGUAGGAGCCCACAUGGAUAAGGACUGCAAAUACAAUCCAUCACAGCAAAGGCAGAGGAUCUUCACCAACAAAUGCCUAAAGCCAGGCUGCAAAAGGAAAGAGAUGAUGAAGGUAGUUUGUGAACAGUGUGGUGGCAAUUUCUGCAUAAAACAUCGACAUCCUCUGGAUCACAACUGUAAAGGGAGCAGCCAUCCCACCUCCAAAGCAGGGCAGAUGGACCUUCACUGCUCUGUGCAGAGAGCUGUAAAACUUGUGUGAUGGAUGCAGAUGAACUGGAUGAAAGAGUGAAACUCCUGGUGCUGUGCUGAGCCUGGCUUUAUUUCUUUGUAGGUAUGCAGCCCUGAUGAGAGCCUCUGAAGCUGCCUUGAAGUCAGCGGGAGCAAUUGGAGUGCCAUCUAAUGGGAGCCUUCAGCACAACAGAUCCAGAUAGUGGAGGCUCCUCACACCUGGAUCAAACCUCUACUUCAAAGUUAAUUUUGUCUACAGUUCUUGAUGUAAUCAGAUUUAUUUUCCUAUGCAGUUAAGUUAUUUUUAUAUCAAUGGUUUAUGCAUUCAAUAAACUGUCACUCUUUUCAAGCCAGCUUUGUUUGUUCCUGUAUUUGGAGUAAGAACUUACUGGAAAAUACUUGGAGAGAAAUGGGGCAUGGUGGUAGGAAGACAACUAAAAUUAGCAUGACUUAAAGCUGGCUGUGUUUUGUCCUGUCUGAACCAUGAGUUUCCUAAAGUGAAAGCUUGAAAUACAAGCUACUGUGAUGUCUCAAUUUUGGGAGUGAACUGGCACACAGUUUAGCAUUCUGCUUGAUAAAACAUCAGCAUGAAGCAAGCUUCAUAUAAGCUGCCUCUUGGUUUCUGAAUAUCAUUGGAAGUGUUUGAUUUAUAAUGCCCAUACCUAGUUUUUCUAGGCUUACCUUAAACAAUUCACUGAAGGCUAGUGCUCAGGGAUGUGCACAAUAUCAUUCUUCAUGAUUUAUUGCACCUUAGAGGGGAAUCUAGAUUUGCAUUGGUAUUUUCUUUAGCUGGCAGGGAAAAGGCAGGGGAAAUAGAAUUAACUGUCUCCUGUAAUGAGAAUGAGGCCAAAAUACAACCCUGUCUAGGGAGGCCACUCAUGCUGUCAUUCCACAAAGCUUAAACAAGUGAAGACAUAGCAGAUAUGUUCCAUCUAUUAUUCUGAUCAGCUAUCUUGGCUGUUUAAAACUGCAUGAAUAUCCAGCUGCUUAGCUUGAGGCCUAGAAUAUUGUAGGCUGAUGAAAUGGAAAUGUGCUGUUAAUGAACAAUACUAAUUCCCCAGCUGGGAUCUAAAGAGACCUUUCAUCCAGCUAAUUGUGAGAAAAAUGCCAGGGCUUACUGAUGAUGUCAGGGGGGUCAAGACCUCAAUUUCAUGUGUCAUUGGAACCAUUCCUCUGCACACUGGGGCUGGUGGGUUGGGGUGUUGGGUUAGGACUAACUGAAGGGUAAUUGCAGUCCCUGCAGCUAUGAGUGCACAGCACUGUUCUGCUGAGGUUGGGAGGCUGAGCAGUUUGUGUAGCAGAGAAUGCUGUGUUCCCUGACCUGGGAAAAAU
Molecule: RNA transcript, 1804 nt
Organism: Dryobates pubescens (Downy woodpecker)
Lineage: Eukaryota; Metazoa; Chordata; Aves; Piciformes; Picidae
Gene: ZFAND2A
Gene name: zinc finger AN1-type containing 2A
Exons: 6
Source: RefSeq, a predicted model, not a curated record